This 440-nucleotide long non-coding RNA is filed under the name Nilaparvata lugens (brown planthopper). RNAcentral's name for it is "uncharacterized LOC120350416". Lineage: Eukaryota; Metazoa; Arthropoda; Insecta; Hemiptera; Delphacidae. The record is from RNAcentral.
AAAAUGUAGCAUGUAACUUGAAUUAUGAAAUAUCUAAAUUUUACUACAAAAUUUUUCUUUUAAAUUAUGCUAAAGUAGCAUAAAUGUAAAUCUACAAUGCCUGAUUGAAUUUUAUAUUUGAAUAACCCCAGUUGGGUUUUUUUUAUUUUACCAUUAAUUUUGAAUGACCGGACAAAUAUAAUACCAGGAUAAAUACAGGAUGAAGGAGACUAAACAUUUUCCAUAAACUCAAGCAAAUUCAACCAAAUUUUGGAAUUCAAGUACAGUAUGAAAGUUAAAUUUCCAUUUACAAUUCGAAGUGGGGUAAGCAGAACACUUGUUUUACAAUUCGGCUUCUAAUUCAACCAAGUCCAUCGAAUUUUAUGAGUUUCAAACUUCGAUAAUCGUCGCUUAUCUACGAUUCCACAUUACACUGAAGCUUCAGUUGUAGGCCUACCGGG